AUACGUAGGGGGCGAGCGUUGUCCGGAAUGAUUGGGCGUAAAGGGCGCGUAGGCGGCCUGUUAAGUCUGGAGUGAAAGUCCUGUUUUCAAGAUGGGAAUUGCUUUGGAUACUGAUGGGCUUGAGUGCAGGAGAUGUUAUCGGAAUUCCCGGUGUAGCGGUGAAAUGCGUAGAGAUCGGGAGGAACACCAGUGGCGAAGGCGGGUAACUGGACUGCAACUGACGCUGAGGCGCGAAAGUGUGGGGAGCAAACAGGAUUAGAUACCCUGGUAGUCCACACUGUAAACGAUGAAUGCUAGGUGUAAGAGGUAUCGACCCCUUUUGUGCCGGAGUUAACACAAUAAGCAUUCCGCCUGGGGAGUACGGCCGCAAGGUUGAAACUCAAAGGAAUUGGCGGGG
RNAcentral lists this ribosomal RNA (397 nucleotides) under uncultured bacterium. RNAcentral describes it as "partial 16S ribosomal RNA". It matches the Rfam family "Bacterial small subunit ribosomal RNA", at positions 523 to 918 of the family's 1533-position model. The record is from RNAcentral.